This is a long non-coding RNA of Lagenorhynchus albirostris (white-beaked dolphin), 899 nucleotides long. RefSeq lists it as uncharacterized. The transcript has 2 exons. The record is from RefSeq and is a predicted model, not a curated record. Lineage: Eukaryota; Metazoa; Chordata; Mammalia; Artiodactyla; Delphinidae.
GCAAAACUUUGUGGAGUGAAUGUAGAAGUCACUGUAUGCUUUUAAUUAAAGGAACACAAUAAAUCUUGUAUUGGAAGCGUUCUCCAUGGAAACAUUGCUGAAGCUUCUGGACUCAAUUUCCUUUCCCAUGUGUGAAUGUCACUGAAAAUAUCCAACUCCAUUCUAUCCCCAUAUAACUUAAGAAACUAAGCAAAAUGAAGACUCAAAAUGCAUUUCAAAUAAUGAAGUUACAAUGUAGAAUGGAACUGGGAAAAUGUCUGGUUUAAAUUCUGGAAAGUACCAACUAUACUAUUCUGGAUAAGUUGCUUAAUCUUGCUUAGUCUAAUUUGAUGCCCAUCUCACAGGAUGUUAUGAUGAUUUAUUUAAUAUCUUUGUAUAACGUACAGUGUUAUGUAAUUUCUUCUAGUUUUUCUUGAGUAAAUUCAUAUCCUUAAGCAACUCACUGUAAACAGUAGUUACUUACUUACUUAAAUUACUCUUAUCUUCUAUUAUCAGCUGAAUUGUGUCCUGCUCAAGUUAAUAUGUGGAAGUCUUAACCCCCAAUAUCUCGUAAUAUGACUGUAUUUGGAGAUAAGGCCCUUAAAUAGAUAAUUGAGGUCAAAUGAGGUCAAAUGAGUGGACUCUAAUCCAAUAUGACUGGCGUCCUUAUAAAAAGAAAAUAUUAGGACACAGACAUGCACAGAGAGAAGAUCAUGUGAAGACAAAAGGAAAACAUGGCUUCUACAAACCAAGAAGAGAUACCUCGGAAGAAAUCAAUCCUGUUGACACCUUAUCUCAGAUUUCUAGCCUCUAGACCUGUGAGUGAGUAAAUUUCUGUUGUUCAACCUCUUCAGUAUCUGGUACUUUGUCAUGGCAGCUCUAGGAAACUAAUACAACUUUUUAUGACCUCCUUGUCUCAA